GCGGGUGCUCAGACAUGCAGUCGAACGCGAAAGUCCCCUUCGGGGGAUAAGUAGAGUGGCGCACGGGUGAGUAACACGUAGGUAAUCUACCUUCGGGUGGGGAAUAACCCAGGAAACUUGGGCUAACACCGCAUAGUGCAGCGGCACCACAUGGUGACAGUUGUUAAAGCGGGGGAUCUUAGGACCUCGCGCCUGAAGAGGAGCCUGCGGCGGAUUAGCUAGUUGGUGAGGUAACGGUCACCAAGGUAACGAUCCGUAGCCGGCCUGAGAGGGCGGUCGGCACACUGACACUGACAUACGGGUCAGACUCCUACGGGAGGCAGCAGUCGGGAAUUUUGGGCAAUGGGCGAAAGCCUGACCCAGCAACGCCGCGUGAAGGAUGAAAUCCCUCGGGAUGUAACUUCGCAAGAAUGGGAAGGAAUUAGUAGGGGUCAAUACCCCCUAUGAUGACGGUACCAUUUGUAAGCUCCGGUAACUCCGUGCCAGCAGCCGCGGUAAUACGGGGGGAGCACGCGUUG
This 518-nucleotide ribosomal RNA is filed under the name uncultured bacterium. Its description in RNAcentral is "bacterial SSU rRNA". It matches the Rfam family "Bacterial small subunit ribosomal RNA", at positions 39 to 543 of the family's 1533-position model. The record is from RNAcentral.